RNAcentral lists this ribosomal RNA (911 nucleotides) under uncultured bacterium. Its description in RNAcentral is "bacterial SSU rRNA". It matches the Rfam family "Bacterial small subunit ribosomal RNA", at positions 33 to 926 of the family's 1533-position model. The record is from RNAcentral.
ACGCUGGCGGCGUGCCUAAUACAUGCAAGUAGAACGCUGAAGAGAGGAGCUUGCUCUUCUUGAAUGAGUUGCGAACGGGUGAGUAACGCGUAGGUAACCUGCCUUGUAGCGGGGGAUAACUAUUGGAAACGAUAGCUAAUACCGCAUAACAAUGGGUGACACAUGUCAUUUAUUUGAAAGGGGCAAUUGCUCCACUACAAGAUGGACCUGCGUUGUAUUAGCUAGUAGGUGAGGUAACGGCUCACCUAGGCGACGAUACAUAGCCGACCUGAGAGGGUGAUCGGCCACACUGGGACUGAGACACGGCCCAGACUCCUACGGGAGGCAGCAGUAGGGAAUCUUCGGCAAUGGGGGCAACCCUGACCGAGCAACGCCGCGUGAGUGAAGAAGGUUUUCGGAUCGUAAAGCUCUGUUGUAAGUCAAGAACGAGUGUGAGAGUGGAAAGUUCACACUGUGACGGUAGCUUACCAGAAAGGGACGGCUAACUACGUGCCAGCAGCCGCGGUAAUACGUAGGUCCCGAGCGUUGCCCGGAUUUAUUGGGCGUAAAGCGAGCGCAGGCGGUUUGAUGAGUCUGAAGUUAAAGGCUGUGGCUCAACCAUAGUUCGCUUUGGAAACUGUCAAACUUGAGUGCAGAAGGGGAGAGUGGAAUUCCAUGUGUAGCGGUGAAAUGCGUAGAUAUAUGGAGGAACACCGGUGGCGAAAGCGGCUCUCUGGUCUGUAACUGACGCUGAGGCUCGAAAGCGUGGGGAGCGAACAGGAUUAGAUACCCUGGUAGUCCACGCCGUAAACGAUGAGUGCUAGGUGUUGGAUCCUUUCCGGGAUUCAGUGCCGCAGCUAACGCAUUAAGCACUCCGCCUGGGGAGUACGACCGCAAGGUUGAAACUCAAAGGAAUUGACGGGGGCCCGCAC